ACAUUGCUUGUAGUUUCUUGCUUUGAGCUUGUUUGGCAUGCAAAUUAACUCAUAUGUGGUGGAGUUCUUUUCUUUGUUUUUGCUGAGACGAAGAGCUUCUAGCUUUGAGAGGCAAAAGAAGAUGGUCCUCCGAAUUCGUUUAAGCUUGGCUUUGGUGGCGCCGGAAGAGAAAGGUUUGUUUUCGGACUCGAGGCAGACCAAGCAACUAGGCUGUCGACUGAAUUCGUUUAAGCUUGGCUUUGGUGGCGCUGGAAGAGAAAGGUUUGUUUUUGGACUCGAGGCAGACCAAGCAACUAGGCUGUCGACAACAAGGGACAUGGGACCUGGCGCUGCUUAUGACAACGGUCAUUUCUUUGUGUAUGUAAUAUACUAGUUGUUGUAAUAGACUAGCUGUUGUACCUGCACACUUGUAGUGUUCUCCUUCCAUGUGAAAUACAAAAUGGCAAUUCUAUGCCCCUGUGCAUGCAUUCCUUUCUGCCUUUUAUGCUGCCAAAAUUUCUAGCCGAGACCUGCUCGACAUGUCAAAAUUUUGUCCUUGUUUGUAACGAAACAAAAAAUGUGAAGGGGGCGACUGUAAAAAUUUGUCUUUGUUUGUAAGAAAACUAAAACUUCUGGGUGUUGAUUGUUCGUCUUAGGGUGCAUAUCAAGAGAAUUAGUUUAAUGGGAUGAACUAUUUACGUGCUCGAGAAGUAACUAUUUGGACCGCAGCUCAUGACGGAAGCUAGCACAUACAAGGAAGAUGUAGACUCUGUAUUGAGAAAAACCACACAUGUAUAGAGAUAAAAAGACACAAAAAUAAAAGUAAAAUGCGUAGAACAUUCUAAAACCGGAACCCGUAUCAGAAAAUAUUUUUUAACUCCCGACGAUUGUUUUUGAAAUUGCCAACAUUUCUCCGGAACCCGUAAACAUUUUCUUGAAUUAGUGAAUAUUUUUUCAGGAAUUUUAAAGAAUAUUCAUGAAAAUAAAAUUGUAUUUCAUGAGCAUUUAUUUAGUUGUCAUUAUUUUUUGAAACGAUGAACUUUUUGAAAAUUCACAAUUUUUUUUGAUUUUGUGAUCAUUUAUUUACAUAUUCAUUAACAAUUAUGAAUCGACAUUUCUUUAAAAUCAUGAAUUUUUCUUUUUGAAUUUGUGAACAUUGUUCGAAAUUGUGAAUAUUUUGUCCAUUUUGAGAACUUUUUUUGAAGCCAGAAACAAUUUUGAACUCGCGAAACUUUUUUACAUUCGAGAACAAUCUUUCAAAACUCGUGAACAUUUUUUUGAAAUUCAAUUUUUAUUUUGACAUCCCGACCAUCAUUUGAAACUAGAUGAUGGCCCAUGCCUUGCUGCGGGAAUGAAUUGUAAUAUAUUUCAAUAGGAUUUGACUAUGUGGAGUAUAAAUAUUUCGUUUAACAACAUGUGAACAAUAUUUUAUUAUGUACAUACGACGUAUCAUAUUUUAUUUUGUAUAGUUGUAAAGUAUUUAUUGAAUAUAAGUAGAAUAAUAGAGUGAAUAAUAUUUUCUGAUGGAUGGCUGGAUGUGGUGGUGGGUGAUUUCACAUGCGUGGGUGCAUGUUGAUGGGCCUUAUCCCUUCAAUAAUUGUAUGGUGAUGUGGCAUGCUUGUAUGUUGAGAUAAGUAAGUUAGUGGGGAUGACUCUUUUAUGUAUAUAUAGAAUUUAUAAUUGUUUUUAAAUCCCGAACAAUUGUAUUAAAGAAACAAAACAAAAAAACUGGGGCGGCCCACCCCAAUACGCGCUGGGGGAGCGGGUGUUGCGCGCUAGGUCACUACUCAGCGACUCGCCCGCGAACUAGGAGCUCCCUAAAGGCAAGCCUUAUUUGGCGCUUUCGGCACCGAUUAAGGGCUAUUUUGCCAACCGGUGCACACGCCCCUCAAAGUUGGGCCGGCCCAUUUUACUUUUUUUUUGCGGGUGUUGAGUUUCAAACUCGGACCUGUAUCUUUAACGAAAAGUGCACUAAGCAAUAGGACAUCGCAAAACACGUCCAACCCUAUUUCAUUUUUUCCUUUUAUACUUUUUUCAGUUUGCGGGAAGCUCAAAACUCACUUCCCGUCGACAGACAUGGCCUAUCUUCCUUUCGGUCCCAAGUUCCGUGUCGCUGUCGUGUCCCACCAUAGAGUUGGGAGACGACAAAUCAAGUUAUAAUACAAUAUAUGCACAUUAAUUGUGCAUGGUGAUUCAUGCAUAUUUUCCAUGAAUACCCAUACACUAUUUCUCGCCAUUUCAUGUGAAGAGUGCGGAGACUAAAAAAUUAUUGGAUCUUGCUAUCACUUAAACAAUUUUGAGAGAAUCAUGGUAUAAUUAUAGUGACGAUGGGAGAAUCAUAGAAUAAUUAUAACGACGGCUAGAACAAUUGUAGAAUAAAUUAUGAUUUAUUUUGAUGAUUUAUAGGAAAGUAAGUAAAUGGAGGUUAAUUAGUUUCAAUGGAUAUCAAGACAAUAGCAACAUGAGGUAGCCGUUGAUUGUUCGGAGGAGUUGGUUUAUUAGUUCACGAAACAAUCUAUCGUCCCGCUUUAUACAUAAAACACAAACCAAAGUACAUGACCGAACAAUACAAGAAAGUGAGAAAGCACUCUUACAGAGUAGAACCCGGGAUAAACGGAUAAAAUAAACGAACGGGACUACGUUGAUGAGAACUAACAACUAACACAGAUAGGCGUGAAUACAAUGCCACGACAUGACCUAGAACCCAUAAGCUCCAUGACAACACCCUCAAGAGGGGAGACGACGUGAAGCGUUGCCGCUACCGAGUCCGAGACAGACAGGGGUCGUCACCCGAAACCUUGAAACGAAGAGAAGAACCACGGCGACGUCUUGAAGAGAAGCAGUGGCGGAGCCAGCCAGUUGAAGGAGCCGGGGCAAAGUCUUUACACAGCGAUGUUGCCCAGAUUUGCCCAAGUAAUUAGUAAUGCUAAUCAUGGUUUCUUAUGAUUUCUUUGUAUUGUUUAGUGAAGACUGCCCCGAACAACCCGGGCAGCUGCCCCAGGUCGCUGGGAGCUAGCUCCGCCACUGAAGAGAAGGCAGCACCCAUGGGUGGAGGAUUUUUAGUUCCGUACUCCCGCUAUUUCUAAAUAUAAGUCUUUUAAGUAUGGAGUACAUACAAAUGUAUAUAUAGACCUAUUUUAGAAUGUAGAUUCAUUUAUUUGCUCCGUAUGUAGUUCAUAUUGAAUUCUAUAAAAAAGAUAUUUAGGAACGAAGGAAGUAUAUUUUUACUGAAUUUGUUUUCUAUAUUUUUGUUGCCAGAUUUAUAACAAUACACGAAUGAACUAAUUAGGCCAAAGCUGGUCAUAGGGUGUCAUAGGGUCGUGAUCCCCGUGAUAUUAGGUGUUCAUCGUCGGAUCUAGAAGGUAAAGAGAUGAGCGAUCAGGAUUAGCCGGAGGAAGACCACAAUCCGUGGACUCACGUCAAGGACCAAUCAAGCCGCACUCUUGUUGAAAGGUUUCGCGCUCAAGCUCAAGAGCGCGGGACUCCGUCGCACCAAAAACUCUAGCGCCCACGCUUGCGUCCAAAUUUUCGCGCUCGGGCUCAGUGAUGUCUGGAAAACUCUGGCAUCCACGCUUUUGUCCAAGUGUUUCGCGCUCGGUCCAAGACUUAAUAUUUUCAAAUGAAAUUGAGAAGAGAGAUUCUAACCAACCAGCACCCAACCCAACCCAAAACAGCCCUCGCACACUCUAUCUUCUUCCUCCUCCCCCGAUUCCACCCAACGAGCUGCCGGCAACCUCCUCUCCUCCAGCCACCGCCGGCGCCCUCCACCCUCUCCUUCUCUCCUAGUCUCCGCGUCCAACCUCGACAGCUUCCCCUCCUCGCGCCCGAAACCCUAGCCCGCGUCCACGGCAACCAAUCUCUGGAUCCGCAUCGCAGGAUGCCGCCGGAUCCGGGAACAGGGCAUCACACCCUGCAGCUGCCGUUCGGGUCGAGCGCGGCGGCGGCGAACGCCGGUGCUCCUCUGCUUCCUCGACCUCCAAGGACGCAGGCCCCGGAUUCGUGCUCGCCUUCUUCCUCCACCAACCUUGGUGCCCAACUCCCUACAGCCGCCGUCGCCGUCGCCGUCGUGGACUCCCAAGGUCCCAUCCGCCUCUCGUCUUUCCUAUUUCGAUUUUCACCGUCGAUGUGUGUGUGUGUGUGAUCAAUUUGCGUUUUUUUGAUUCCAAGCAGCAGGCAAGGAGCAUGAGGACCGAGCUCGAGCGCGACCACGACGCAGCGCACAAGGUCCCUGUUUCCUGCACAAGGUAGCACCUCUCUCUCCCUCCGCCCACUCACUUCCUAAUCUCCUCUGGUCACAAGCUUUCCGCAAUGGAGCCCGAGGCAUCAAGAACCGUCCACUCACUGAUGCAUUUGCAGUAUACACAUCACCUUGCUUGGUUGGGGAGCAGCAACAUCAAGGCUGUUGUACAAACAGCAAUAUCAAGACGUUGAACAAAUAGCAACAUCAGUUGCUGAUAGCGUACUGAGUUACUCACCAUGAACCGUCCUCAUUCUGUAACUUCUGAAUGAAUUCAGUCACUCACCUGAUGCAUUGUUCUACUUCAUCUUCUUGAUGCCCAGGGUGUUUCAGCACCAACGCUUGGAUGACCAACGAGGUACACUCGACGUACCUGUGAUAUGCAUGUGUAUUAAUAUCGAAUCACAUGUGAGAGCUAUUGCAAAGAAAGGAUGUAGAUUUCUUACUGUUGUUGUACCAUGGUGUCUGCACAUAUAUCUCUCAUGUUGAAAAUCUGAAGAUGGAAAAAUAAAUAAUAAAUUCUCAUUACCCAAUGUUAAAUUGAGUUGCCUAAUUUCCAAAUAAAAAUAGCAUGCAGUGCAAACAUAUGAUUGCACAUCAUCUUUUGGUUCAGUCUGUAUGUGCAUUUUUAAAUUUUGCCUAAAACUGUGCUAAAUGCAUGUCCUAAGCUAUGCAUGCUCUUACCGUAGCUAAUCCCAACCCUGUGUGCAAGCUAUUGGACCUGAUAUCGGUUAAUUCCAAGUACAAAUUCAGUUACUGUAUAUUUAUCGUAGAACCAGAAUAUUUAUUGUGGAUCUUGUUACAUGGUGUGCCAUGCAUAUGCCUUAGCACUAGUAUUUCAGCAUGCUUAUGCCUUUGCAUUUGCUAGUUUAUUAGCUAGCACAUGUUUUACUGAAGCGGUUUGCAUAACCGUGACCAGACUAGGUCAAUAUUAUUGAUUUGGUAAUCUUGAAACUCAACAAUCAAUGAAUGAAAUACAUUUGAUCCUCUUUUGACAUGUGUCAAGUGUUGUCCUGAUGUAGGAACAAGCUAUGGCGGUGGCUGCCGAUUUGCCGCCUCAACAAGGUCUCGUUCCUCCCUGGUUUGCACAAGCUUCGUCAGGCAACUGCAGAUCCCGUACGACCAUGGCCCACACCCCUGAAGCUUCCCCUGUCCGCAACAACUUCUGGAUCAAAGGUGUUCAUUCAUCUCUCUGCUAUCCUAAAGCAUGAAAAUGUUUCUCCUCUAGACUUCUUUAGAUUUAUGUUGGUCUGAUGAUGGUGUUAGUCCGGAGAUGGUGAUCUAAUCAUAUUCAAGAUAUCUAAACUGAAUGGAUGUUAUUACAAAACCAUCUAAUAUAUGUAGAACAACCGACAGGAAAUUUGCAUCUUCAUUUUGCCAUUGACACUGAAUAUGUUUCUUAAUAAUGUGGUUAAUCUUUAUGCAUGGAGAAACAAGAUCAUUUGUGACUUUUGAGCAAGGUUAUAAUUGGUAGCUUUGAAUGUAUUAUAUCUGCUUUCGAGAGCAAGUUUUGUGCAGCAGUUGUUCUGGUCAUUAAAGUUUGUGUUCUGUGCUUGUUUUGUUCUGGCAUGUAAUCUCAUGUUUGACCACAACUGAAUCUUCAAUGCAAAGACUCUGUGUUCCACUCAUAUAAUCUCAUGUUUGACCGUUCAAUGCAAAGAUAUAAUUGAUGAUCGAUCCUAUAAGUUCAUUACACUAACCAACAUGGUAUUAAUGUCAAGUCGAGAGUUGACCACUUUGCUCUUCUUGUUAUCUCAGGAUUGUUGCUUAAUCCCGGGCUGCUCUACCUUCAAGGAAAAGGGGUCCUCCUUGAGAUCAUACAGAUGGUGCAAGGACAAUGUUAAUAUGGUCAUUGUGGUGGGUGAGGGUGCCGGCCAAGAUCUCAUCGCCUAAAGCAUCAAUUUUGUGGACCUCACCAUCCCUUCCUUGGUUUGAGUGAGUACUUGGUCUCCUCUCUCUCUCUCUCUCUCUCUCUCUCUCUCUCUCUCUCUCUAAGAUGGUCCGGCCAUCGAGCCGUGGGUGAUUGUGUUGCUGGCAAUCGAGAGGCUGAUUUAGUGUUUGGAUCUUUGGUGGCCUUCUUUUGUGAUUGUGAUUGUCUUUCUUGUUGAUGAAAUUGGUCUCUUGUAAUUAUAUGAUGGGCCCUUUUUUGCUGUGCAUGCUAUAUGGUUUGGUUAUGGUCCAUGUUUAGUCUUGAUAGGAACCUUAUGCUGGGAUUUUGACUUGUUAAUGGCUAUCAAAUAAAACAAAAAGCUUACCUAUUGGUGUAGUGGUUCUGUGUAUUGAUAGAACUGGUUGAUUCUUGUACAACAGAAGGAAAGGGGGUUCCGUUCUCUGUUACUUUUAUUCUAUCUUAAUGCGUGUUGGUAAUACACCUUAGUAAAAUCUUGAUUUUCUGUCAGAGGUAAGGUAACCAAUGUCAAAUGGGAAAUGGACAACCUUUUCCAUGCAGAAAAGUAAAGUCCUUAAUACAGUCAUAUAAAAUAUGAGAUGUCCACCACUAUUGUCUCUGGUGUAUUUUAUAUAUGCUUCAGAAAAUGUAAAUCAUGUGCUGGCUGAUAUAUUUAGCGAAGAAUAUGGAGGAUUUUGUUUGUCUCAAGUGAUGAGUGAAUGAAACCGUGGGCUGUACACUAACCUGUAAUCUGCUAUUGGGUCUAGCAAAGUUGGAUUUGUUUCCAAUCUGGCACAUGUUUAUAGGUUUCAUUUAAUUGAGAGCAAAAUGGCUAUGUUUGAACUGAAGCUUGGUUUAUCUACAUUUUGUAGAAGUUUUUGAUUAUUUGAUAGUUGAUAUCUCUUCUAUUGCGAGCAGCAGAGGAGGAAUGGAUCCAGGACUGUCCGCUGCGGAUUCGCCGCCUCACCUAUGUCGGUCUUGUGCGUGCUUGGGGUUCUUCGCCGAGCACCAACACCGCCAUGGAGCCGGCGAGCUCACACACCUGCACCUUCAGAAGCACCACGUUAGGUACUGCAACAUCAAGUGCUACGGCGAGGUUGCUGGGCGCUAGCCGUGGCGUCCGACGCGUGUAAUGGUUGAAGGUUUUUUGGUUUAGUGCUCGUGCAACGCCGGCGCUAGUGGCGCUGUACGGCUUCGGCUACAGUCGUUCUGGUAAGUUCCUAAUUUUCUUUAUACCAGCUAUCCUUUUUGCGCUUUUCUUUUGAUUUUACGUUUGGGCAUACAUGUUACAUAUCCAAAAUGGGUGGAAUUGAAAUGUUGGAUAUUAUAUCCAAACUGUAGGGUUUAAUUUUUUUGGGAUUGUGUAAGGUUAAAUCUUUGUUCCUAGUGGAACAUAUCGUUUUUCAAAUUGGUAAUAUGGUUGCUUUGUCCAUGAUAAUGCUAUAAACAGUUUGUAUGGAUUUGUGCUGGUGUUCAUCCAUCCCUACAAAUAUUUUGCAUCCUCAUUUUGCCAUUGCCAUUGAAUAUGUUUCUUAAUAAUGUGGUUUCUCUUUAUGCAUGGAUAAAAUUUUAUUGUAUCAAUUCAUUUACAAGAUCAUUUGUGAAUUUUGAGAAAAGAUAUAAUUGAUAGCUAUGAAUGUAUUUGGUUUGCUUUUGAGAGCAAGUUUUGUCCAGUAGUUUGCACUUUUUUAUUCUUUCUUCUUGUUUUGUUCUGGCAUGUUAAUCUCAUGUUUGGCCACAACUGAAUCUUCAAUGCAAGGAUUAUGUGUUCCACUCAUAUAAUCUCAUGUUUGAUCGUUCAAUGCAAAGAUAAAAUUGAUGAUCGAUCCUAUAAGUUCAUUACAAUAGCUGACAUGAUAGUAAUGUCGAGUCAAGCGACUGACCACUUUGCUCUUGUUAUCUCAGGAUUGUUGCUUAAUCCCAGGGAUGCUCUACCUUGAAGGAAAAGGGGUCCUCCUUGAGAUCAUAUAGAUGGCGCAAGGACAAUGGUCAUAUGGUCGUUGUGGUGGCUGAGGAUGCUGGCCAAGAUCUCAUCGCCCAAAGCAUGAAGUUUGUGGACCUCACCAUCCCUUCCUCUGUUUGGGCGAGUCCUUGGUCUUCUCUCUCUCUCUCUCUCUCUCUCUCUGAGAUGGUCCGGCCAUUGAGCUGUGGGUGAUUGUGGUGCUGGCAAUCAAGCCGCUGAUUUAGUGUUUGGAUUUGUGGUGGCCUUCUUUUGUGAUUGUGAUUGUGGUCGUCUUUCUUGUUGAUCAAAUUGGUCUCUUGUAAUUCUACGAUGGGCCCUUUUAACUCUGCAUGCUACAGGGUUUGGUUAUGGUCCAUGUUUAUUCUUGAUAGGAUCCUUAGGCUGGGAUUUUGACUUGUUAAUGGCUAUCAAAUAAAACAAAAUGCUUACCUAUUGGUGUAGUGCUGUUGUGUAUUGAUAGAAUUAGUUGAUUCUUGGUCUUGUUUGAUAGGAUAGAAUAAGAAGAGAUAUUCUCUACUUGGUCUUGUACAAGUCUUAGUGAUGUGCUUUCUGUUGCCGUGGCAUACUUGCGAAUAUGAUCCCGGCCUAUUCCCAUGUGUUGUGUUGUGCACAAUGAAGAUGAUAAUAUGAUCGUCUGACUGAUUCCAACUUGCGAAAGAGCAUAUUUAACAGAGCAUUACCAGGUAUCACUUCAUCAUGAAAGAAAUGGCUUUUAGUUGCUACUGUCAUAAUGCUUGCGGAUAGUACACUGUAGUACAAUCUCGAGUUCGGUAAUCAAUGUGAAAUGGACUAAAAAUGGGCAACCUUUCCAUGCUGAGCAUAUUUGACUGUACGGUUGUUGAAUUGAAAUACACAUGUACAUGCUUUGAUCAUCUGGAUUGCAUUCUCUUCACAUGGCUACUUGGUCCGUUUAACGAAGCUUCACGGUAGGUACAUGUCUUGUUAAGAAGUGAUUUAAAAUAUAAAUAGAAGAUAGAAAGAGGGGAUGCUUGGAGAUUAUGAGACAUUUACUGUUCAAAAGAAGGAAAGGGGAUUCUCUGUUUCUCUUAUUCUAUCGUAAUGUGUGUUGGUAAUACACCAUAGUAGAAUCUUGAAUUUCUGUCAGAGUUAAGAUAAGCAAUGUCAAACGGGAAAAUGGACAACCUUUUCCAUUCAGAAAAGCAGAGUCCUUAUUACAGUCAUGUAAAAUAUGAGGUGUCCACCACCAUUGUCUCUAGUGUAUUUUAUACAUGCUUCAGAAAAUAUAAAUCAUGUGUUGGCUGUUAUAUUUAUAGAGAAGAAUAUGGAGGAUUUGUUUGUCUCAAGAAAUGAGUGAAUGAAACCGUGGGCUUGAUUCUAACCUGUAAUCUGCUAUUGGGUCUAGCAAAGUUGGAUUUGUUUCCAAUCUAGCAUUUGUUUAUGCAAAUUGGCUAUGUUUGAACUGAAGCUUGGUUUAUCUACAUUUUGUAGAAGUUUUUGAUUAUUUGAUAGUUGAUAACUCUUCUAUUGCAAGCAGCAGAGGAGGAUGGAUCCAGGACCGACCGCUGCGGAUUCCCCGCCUCACUAAUGUCGGUCUUGUGCUUGCCUGGGGUUCUUCUUCGCCCAGCACCAACACCGUUGAUGGCAGUGAAAACCAGCUGCUACAGAUGCUGAUCAUUGGCCGGUGAGCUCACACAUUUGCACCUUCGGAAGCACCAGGUCACCUACUACAACAUCAAGUUCUACGACGAGGUUGCUGGGCGCUAGCCAUGGCUUCCGACGCGUUACAUGGCUGAAGGCUUUUUGGUUCGCGUGCUCGUGUGACGCCGGCGCCAGUGGUGCUGUACGGCCUCGGCUACAGCCAUUCUGGUAAGUUCCUAAUUUUCUUCAAACCAGCUUUCCUCGUUGCACUUUUCUUUUAAUUUUACGUUUGGUCAUGCAUGUUACAUAUCCAAAAUGUGUGGAAUUGAAAUGUUGCAUAUUAUAUCCAAGCUGUAAGGUUAAAUCUUUUUUUGGAGGGUGUAAGGUUAAUUCUUUGAUUGUAGUGGAACACAUCGUUUUUCAAAUUGGUAAUAUGGUUGCUUUGUCCAUGAUAUGCUAUAAACAGUUUGUAUGGAUUGGUGCUGGUGUUCAUCCAUCCCUACAAAUAUUUUAAUCUUCAUGCUAAGAUGGAGAUCUUGCCAUUUUGCAUGUAGCCUUGGAGGAAUUUGUUUACAGAGGAGUGGACAUAUGGCUCCCUGGCUCCAUGGAGCCCUUUAUUUUCAAACAUUCAAAAAUCAAGUUUCUAUGUUCAGUUACUGUAUAUUUAUCUUUGACCCAGAAUAUUUAUUGUGGAUCUAUUACAUGGUGUGCCAUCUAUAUGCCUAGUAUUUCAGCAUGCUUAUGACUGUGCAUUUGCUAGUUUAUUAGCUAGCACAUGUCAUUUACUGAAGUUGUUUGCAUCACCAUGACCAGACUUGAUCAAUAUUAUUGCUUUGGUAAUUUUGAAACUAAUCAUGUUAUUGAUAAGUUUGUCACCAAUCAAUGAAUGAAAUACAUUUGAUCCUCUUUUGACAUGUGUGGAGUGUUGUCCUGAUGCAGGAACUAGCUAUGGCGGUGGCUGCGGAUUUUCCACUUCAACAAGGUUUCGUGCCUCCCUGGUUUGCACAAGCUCCGUCAGGCAGCUGCAGAUCCCGUACGACCAUGGCCCACACCCCGGAAGCUUCACCCGUCUGCAACAACUUCUGGAUCAAAGGUAAUCUCUCUACUGUCCUAAAGCAUGAAAGCAUUUCUCCUCUAGACUUUUUUAGAUUGAUGUUAGUCUGAUGAUAGUGUUAGUCCGGAGAUGGUGACCUAACCAUAUUCAUGAUAUCUGAACUGAAUGGAUGUUAUUAAAAACAAUCUUAUAGAACAACCGACGAGAAAUUUGAAUCUUCAUGUUUCCAUUACCAUUGAAUAUGUUUCUUAAUAAAGUGGGUUCUCUUUAUGCAUGGAGAAACACUUUAUUGUAUCAGUCCAUUUAAGAGAUCAUUUGUGACUUUUGAGCAAGGAAGUAAUUGGUAGUCUGCUUUCAAGAGCAAGUUUUGUGCAGCAGUUUAUACUUUUUUAAUUCUUUCUUCUUCUAUGAGUGGAGGUUCUGGUCAUUCAAGUUUAUGUUAUGUGCUUGUUUUGUUCUGGCAUGUUAAUCUCAUGUUUGACCACAACUGAAUAUUCAAUGCAAAGACUCUGUGUUCAACUCAUAUAAUUUCCUUUUUGACCGUUCAAUGCAAAGAUAUAAUUGAUGGUUGUCCCUACAAGUUCAUUACACUAACCAACAUGGUAGUAAUGUCGAGUUGAGCACGGAGCACUUUGCACUUGUUAUCUCAGGAUUGUUGCUUAAUCCCGGGCUGCUCUACCUUGAAGGAAAAGGGGUCGUCCUUGAGAUCAUAUAGAUGGCGCAAGGACAAUGGUCAUUGUGGUGGCUGAGGAUGCUGGCCAAGAUCUUAUCGUGUGAAGCAUGAAUUUUGUGGACCUCACCAUCCCUUCCUAGGUUUGGGUGAGUCCUCUCUCUCCUCCUCCCCCUCCCCCUCCCUCUCCUCUCCUCUCCUCUCUCUCUCUCUCUCUGAGAUGGUCCGGUCAUCGAGCUAUGGGUGAUUGUGGUGCUGGCAAUCGAGCCACUGAUUUAGUGUCUGGAUCUGUGGUGGCCUCAUUUUAUAGUGAUUGUGAUCGUCUUUCUUGUUGAUGAGAUUGGUCUCUUUUAAAUUGCAUUUCUAUUAUCACCAUUUUGCAUGUAGCCUGGGAGGGAAUUUGUUUACGAUACAAUCUUGAUUAGGUAGAUAUAAAUAGGAUACAAUUUUGUUUAAGAUAAACAAAGUUCUGUUAACUGGUAUAUAAAACAAUACUAUCAUUUUAUUAGAGGUAAAACUAGGAGAGUGGAUAUAUGGAUCCCUGGCUCAAUGGAGCCCUUUAUUUUCAAACAAUACUAUCAUUGUGCGACGUACAGGCGUCUAGUACUUAUCUUUGACCAUGUGCUUUUUCCUUGUCUGUGCUGAGGAUUUCCUCUAAAUCUGAGAAGAAGAGAUGCUACCCUGGUCUUCCUUUAUUUUUAUGAAAAUUUGAACAUUGCCUUGUCAUGCUCUGUGUAGUUAACACUUCUUUGAUCCAUGCAUGCUUACUUAUGCAAUCUAGCCCAUGUGUGUGCAGUUGUUUGACUUGUUUUUUCCUCUGUGUUGCGAUGCAUGUGCAGCUGCUGAUCGGGAACCAACCAUUGGUGUACCUCAAUAAGGUCACAGACGGCUGCAUGGGUGAGUCGCCGCCAAGCUCGAGUCCAUGGAGCCCUGCUCCAGCCUCAAGGGGAGGUGAGGUAGUUGUUCCUUUUUUUCUGGAUCCCCAUGAUUUAUUUUUUUGUUGUUUUUCGAUCUGAGCUUAAGAUUUAUUAUGUGUGUUGUCCUUGUGCAGGAGAAGGGGUUCAUCGAGCCAGGCAAGGUGUGCGGUGGUAGGCUCGGUCUCCAGCCUCAGCGUCUUCUGUUGGCCCCUUUGCCAUGUGGCGCCGACGAUGUUGUUCGGAGUCGGCUACAAAACUGGCAUGGUGAGCUCCUCUCUUUCCUCUGCUCCUCGCCUCUGGUUGCUCUGAGCUCGUGCCCAUCGAGCCACAGCUAUGCCAUGUUAGGAUUUGGCCUCUAAUGGUCACUAUGGAUGGAUGCUAUGGUUCCUGUGAUGUGCUAGGGUUGUAUGAAUUGCCUCAUAAUUGAGCCAUUGGUCCAUGUGUAUGCGUUUUGCUCUUGUGAGCUAUUUGACAGGAGUUUACUAAGUGUUUGUGUAGUGCAAAUGUGUUCUGCAUACAAGCUUAUCACCCUUAGUUAGAUAUAGCAUGUACAAACUCUUCUUAUGAUUAUAUGGCUCACAAUCUCAAGCUUGAGGGGUUGGUUGUGGUGCUACAGUUGUUGGGGUGUAGGUGGGAUGUUAGUUUUAACUAGCUGGUGGUGCUGGUGUGGUUGACACCACACCAGUGACUCAGCCAAGCUCCUAGUGCGCUGGAUUUACUGAUCAAUGGGGUUUUUGCAGCAAGGUAGAGUUGAUCUGGCCCUUGCGAAACAAGGAAAAUUGUUCCUUUUUUUGUUGGACACUUGUAGCUAAAGAGUGACUAGGACAUUAGAGGUCAUCUGCUUUGAAACGCGAUGUCAUCUGCUUCUCUAUAGGAGAUUAGAGGUAAUUUUGGGGUUUGCAAAAUCAUGCUUUGUCAUGGGAUGAUUUAUUGGAACGAAUUUCAAACAACGUGAUGUUUCUUUUCUGAAUCCAAACCAUAAUGUAGUACUGUAUGUUGUAAGUUUUUAACAUGUUAAUUGAAUUGAUAGUAAUCGUUCUUGGAGGUGUAGGUUUGGCUUUUUAUCCAAUGUAUGAACUGAUGGAUCAUCCUCUGGGUUAUGCUUCCUGAAUAGCGAAGAGCUAAUCAUCCUGGUGAUUGGUCAAAUAAAAGUUCAUCUUGUUUCAGUUGCCCCUGUAGUGAUAGGGAUGCAGUGUGAUGUUGAAAAAGGCCACAGGUAAUUUUCAGAGCCACAAACAUACUGGUAGCAACAUUACUUUGCUAAAUAAGUCUUGGUGAUGCUAUGUUCCUUUGUCGAAAUCCUCAGUUGCAUUGUCGUCUAUUUGAUCCAUGCAUGCUUACUUAUGCAAUCUAGCCAAGGUGUGUGCAGUUGUUUGACUUAUUUUUUCUUCUGUGUUGUGAUGCAUGUGCAGCUGCUGAUCGUGAACUAGCCAUUGGUGUACCUCAAUAAGGUCACCGACGGCUGCAUGGGUGAGUCACCGCAAAGCUUGAGUCCAUGGAGCCCUGCUCCAGCCUCAAGGAGAGGUUAGGCAGCUGCUCCUUUUUUUCUGGAUCCCCGUGAUUUGUUUUUUGUUGUUGUUGUUUUUCAAUCUUGGCUCAAGAUUUGUUAUGUGUGUUUCCCUUGUGCCGGAGAAAUGGUUCAUCGAGCCAGGCAAGGUGCGCGGUGGUAGGCUCGGUCUCCAGCCUCAGCGUCUUCUGUCGGCCCCAUUGCCAUGUGGCGCCUACGGUGCUGUUCGGAGUCGGCUACAAAACUGGCUUGGUGAGCUCCUCUCCAUCCUCUGCUCCCCGCCUCUGGUUGCUCUGAGCUCGUGCCCAUCGAGCCACAACUAUGCCAUGCUAGGAUUUGGCCUCUAAUGGUCACUAUGGAUGGAUGCUAUGGUUCCUGUGAUGUGCUAGGGUUCAUAUGAAUUGCCUCAUAAUUGAGCCAUUGGUCCAUAUGUAUGCGUUUUGCUCUUGUGAGCUAUUUGACAAGAGUUUACUAAGUGUUUGUGUAGUGCAAAUGUGUUCUGCAUACAAGCUUAUCAUCCUUAGUUAGAUAUAGCAUGUACAAACUCUUCUUAUGAUUAUAUGGCUCACAAUCUCAAGCUUGAGGGGUUGGUUGUGGUGCUACAGUUGUUGGAGUAGGUGGGAAGCUGGUGGUGCUGGUGUGGCUGACACCACACCAGUAACUCAGCCAAGCUUCUAGUGUGCUGUAUUUACUGAUUAAUGGGGGUUUUUGCAGCAAGGUAGAGUUGAUUUGUUCCCAUAAUGAACAUAUCGGAAGUAGCAAAUAUGCUAUGCAAUUAGGUGGUAGGUGGUGCUCGUUUGAAUCUGAAACAUAGAUACAAUAUAGGUGGUGCUCGGAGCACACAUAUUUUUUAGUUGUUUUAUGGGUAACAACGUUCAGGCACACAUUUCUCCUAAAAUUGCUCACCAUUCUGGCAUUUUAGUUCUCAAUGGCUUUUCCACUUUCAGUGAGUUAUGAAAGGAAUUUGUCUGGUAUGGAUGGUUUGAUCAUUGAGUUAAUGAAAAUGUUUCUGAGACAUAAAUCCCACUCAUUUUAGUACCUAUAUCAAUUUUAACCUUUUUAAAAUAUUUCACAGACCACAUAUUCACUUGUUUGAAAAAUGUAUCUGAAACAUAGAUACAAUAUUGUUGUUGCUUAAAAGGUCUUGUCUUCGGGAUCUUAAAUAUACAAAAAUAUUCAAAAAUGGACUUACACUUUAGAAGUGUUGUCUUAUGUAUGUUUGCGCAAUACAAUAUGCUCAUGUGAUCCUUAUGUUGGUGAUCUUUCAGGAAGCACGACAGGUCGCGUAAAGAGGAGGAAAACAAAGCUGAGCGCUCAACUUGUUUAGUGGACUAGCCUUUCUUCUUCCUUGAAAGAAACGUUGAAAGGUAAGACAUGACAGGGGCAAGCAUAGAUAGGCACUGGAGAUUUUUUUUUCUUUCUCUAGUCCAUUUACUGAAUGGGGUGAUGCUUUAUUUCUUCCGAAGGAGAAGAUGUGCUGAAACUAGAUGUAGAGAUGCAUGACCCUUUCUUUGAUUUCCUCUACGUGCUUGAUUCUGAAGUAGGAUGAUCAAAUUUAGAUGGUAUUUACUUUUUUUGUAGGGCAAGUAUAAUGUUUGCCAAGUCAAUCAAUAUAUAUUGACAUGCUCCCUGGGAUGAGAUGGCAAACCAUUUAGAUCAAGCCAUUUCAGUUUGCUGCAUUCAAAUUCCAAACCAAUUAAUGUCCACUUUUAGUUUAAGCCAUGAGAUGAUGGAAAACCAACUCAGUUUGCUACACUUGGUUGUAGAAAUGUCACUCACCGUUCCAGAUUAUUACUUGAGGUUAUAUAUGCUAUACGUAUAAACUAUGCUAGUGUUUGAUCUGGCCCUUGCGAAACAAGGAAAUUUGUUCCUUUCUUUUGUUGUCGCACACUUGUAGCUAAAGAUUGACUAGGACAUUGCUAUUUUUUAUUGCCGCUUGAUCUGAACCCUUCAGUCUUGUUGAUAGCUAGCAUGCCCUGCGACUAACGAUUACGCAAAGAACUCUUAUCUACUCUUGGUAAUUUACCAAGAAAACUCUGCAGUUUGAACGGAUCGAGUUGAUUGUGACUAUCACGAUCCUUUUGAUGGGUUUUGUUGUUGAAACAACGCAAACUAGGAGGGGGAUUAGAUAACUGAUUGAGAGCUAUUUGUUUUGUUGUGUGCAUGCUAUGGGACACAUACAUUACACUUUUUUAGCUUAGUCUCGGCCUACUAGACAUUGCUUGUAGUUUCUUGCUUUGAGCUUGUUUGGCAUGCAAAUUAACUCAUAUGUGGUGGAGUUCUUUUCUUUGUUUUUGCUGAGACGAAGAGCUUCUAGCUUUGAGAGGCAAAAGAAGAUGGUCCUCCGAAUUCGUUUAAGCUUGGCUUUGGUGGCGCCGGAAGAGAAAGGUUUGUUUUCGGACUCGAGGCCAACCAAGCAACUAGGCUGUCGACCGAAUUCGUUUAAGCUUGGCUUUGGUGGCAUUGGAAGAGAAAGGUUUGUUUUUGGACAUGGGACCUGGCGCUGCUUAUGACAACGGUCAUUUCUUUGUGUAUGUAAUAUACUAGUUGUUGUAAUAGACUAGCUUUUGUACCUGCCACUUGUAGUGUUCUCCUUCCAUGUGAAAUACAAAAUGGCAAUUCUAUGCCCCUGUUCAUGCAUUCCUUUCUGCCUGUUAUGCUGCCAAAAUUUCUAGCCGAGACCUGCCCGACUUGUCAAAAUUUUGUCCUUGUUUGUAACGAAACAAAAAAUGUGAAGGGGGCGACUGUAAAAAUUUGUCUUUGUUUGUAAGAAAACUAAAACUUCUGGGUGU
RNAcentral lists this long non-coding RNA (16606 nucleotides) under Triticum aestivum (bread wheat). RNAcentral describes it as "long non-coding RNA (TAES_LNC028554)". Lineage: Eukaryota; Viridiplantae; Streptophyta; Magnoliopsida; Poales; Poaceae. The record is from RNAcentral.